GAUGAACGCUGGCGGCGUGCCUAACACAUGCAAGUCGAGCGAUUCUCUUCGGAGAAGAGCGGCGGACGGGUGAGUAACGCGUGGGUAACCUGCCCUGUACACACGGAUAACAUACCGAAAGGUAUGCUAAUACGAGAUAACAUAAGAAAUUCGCAUGUUUUUCUUAUCAAAGCUCCGGCGUGUACAGGAUGGACCCGCGUCUGAUUAGCUAGUUGGUGAGGUAAUGGCUCACCAAGGCGACGAUCAGUAGCCGACCUGAGAGGGUGAUCUGCCACAUUGGAACUGGGACACGGUCCAAACUCCUACGGGAGGCAGCAGUGGGGAAUAUUGCACAAUGGGCGAAAGCCGGAUGCAGCAACGCCGCGUGAGCGAUGAAGGCCUUCGGGGCGUAAAGCUCUGUCCUCAAGGAAGAUAAUGACGGUACUUGAGGAGGAAGCCCCGGCUAACUACGUGCCAGCAGCCGCCGUAA
This 469-nucleotide ribosomal RNA is filed under the name uncultured bacterium. Its description in RNAcentral is "partial 16S ribosomal RNA". It matches the Rfam family "Bacterial small subunit ribosomal RNA", at positions 28 to 523 of the family's 1533-position model. The record is from RNAcentral.